RNAcentral lists this ribosomal RNA (825 nucleotides) under uncultured Dictyocoela. RNAcentral describes it as "SSU rRNA". It matches the Rfam family "Microsporidia small subunit ribosomal RNA", at positions 71 to 855 of the family's 1311-position model. The record is from RNAcentral. Lineage: Eukaryota; Fungi; Microsporidia.
GUGGAGCGGUGAAAGGCUCAGUAACGGGCGAUUUAUUUGUUCUCCUGGGACGGACAACAUCGGGAAACUGAUGGGAAAACGUCUAAGUUGCAGUUAAAUGAUUGUGACGUAAACCAUUGUGUGCAGGAGAGUAAGAUGCCAUCCUAUCAGUUAGUAAGUAGGGUAAGGGCCUACUUAGACGAAGACGGGUACGGGGAAUGAGGGUUUGAUUCCGGAGAGGGAGCCUGAGAGACGGCUACCAGGACCAAGGUCAGCAGCAGGCGCGAAAAUUAUCGAAGCCCGCCUAGGGGCGAUAGUGAGGAGACGUGUAUAACGAAGUACGUGUAAAGAACGUGCUAAUAACUGGAGGUCAAGUCUGGUGCCAGCAUCCGCGGUAAUUCCAGCUCCAGGGGUGUCUAUGAUGAUUGCUGCGAUUAAAAAGUCCGUAGUCAAUCUGACUGGCUGGCCUGCAAUGUGAUUGAUUAAAGAACGAGCAGGGUUAGGAAAGCAGAGAAUUAGGAGCGACCGAGGGCUAGAGUAUUGAAUGGCGAGAGGUGAAAUUUGAUGACCCAUUCAGGAGUGACAAAGGCGAAGGCACUAGUCAAGGGCGAAUCCGAUGAUCAAGGACGUAGGCUAGAGUUUCGAAAACGAUUAGAGACCGGAGUAGUUCUAGCAGUAAACUAUGCCGACGCCGUGGUAUCAGAAUUGGUAUUGCGGAAGAGAAAUCAAGUAAGGCUUUGGGGAGAGUACGCGCGCAAGCGAUAAAUUUAAAGGAAAUUGACGGAGGAACACCACAAGGAGUGGAGUGUGCGGCUUAAUUUGACUCAACGCGGGACAGCUUACCAA